RNAcentral lists this ribosomal RNA (418 nucleotides) under uncultured eukaryote. RNAcentral's name for it is "bacterial SSU rRNA". It matches the Rfam family "Eukaryotic small subunit ribosomal RNA", at positions 592 to 1018 of the family's 1831-position model. The record is from RNAcentral.
CAAUAGCGUAUAUUAAAGUUGUUGCGGUUAAAAGCUCGUAGUUGGAUUUCUGUUGGGAAAGGCCGGUCCGCACUUUGUGCGUGAUCAGGUUCUGUCUCGGCAUCCUCGUGGGGAACAGGCUGCGCUUGAUUGCGUGGUUUGGUAUUCACGACUUUUACUUUGAGGAAAUUAGAGUGUUCACGGCAGGCAAUCGCUGUGAAUAUAUUAGCAUGGAAUAAUAAGAUAGGACGUUGGUACUAUUUUGUUGGUUUGUAUACCAAUGUAAUGAUUAAGAGGGACAGUUGGGGGUAUUCGUAUUUACAUGUCAGAGGUGAAAUUCUUGGAUUUUGGAAAGACGAACUACUGCGAAAGCAUUUACCAAGGAUGUUUUCAUUAAUCAAGAACGACAGUUAGGGGAUCGAAGAUGAUCAGAUACCAU